UUUUUAAGAAUUUUUUUUUAUUUGUCUUUUUGAUAUUUUCUUUUCCAGAUGAAACCUGCAGCCUCUUGGCUAAAUUAUGUUCUCAAGAGGAGAAAAGAGGAUUUGCCAUUGCCUGUCCCACCUUGACUCUCACCGAGGAACAGAGAAUAAAGUUCCUUCUGUCUCUCCCGCAACUCAACUAUGCUCUCGCUUUGAAUCUUUCUAAAAAUUUUACAUCUUUGAAACAACUGUUAACAAGUUCUGCUGAAGAAAUUUCUCAAAAGGGGAAAACAUCUGCGGCCCUUGCUAACAAAAUUCAUGACUAUAUUCACCGCCAAAGCUCCAAAGAUCUGUGAUAAAUUAUAAAGGAUAAAAAAGAGAUAUAUUUUGUUAUUUUUUGAAAUAAAUUAUUUUAUAUUGUU
Molecule: long non-coding RNA, 401 nt
Organism: Octopus sinensis (East Asian common octopus)
Lineage: Eukaryota; Metazoa; Mollusca; Cephalopoda; Octopoda; Octopodidae
Exons: 3
Source: RefSeq, a predicted model, not a curated record